This 376-nucleotide unclassified non-coding RNA is filed under the name uncultured bacterium. RNAcentral's name for it is "contains 16S-23S intergenic spacer region". The record is from RNAcentral.
UCCUGCUUAUCACAGGCAGUCUGACUAGAGUGCUCGGCUUGACCCGGUAGCAACUAGUCACAGGGGUUGCGCUCGUUGCAGGACUUAACCUAACACCUCACGGCACGAGCUGACGACAGCCAUGCAGCACCUGUGUAACACCCUCGAAGGAGGCCGGCUUUCGCAGGCCUCAUCCGUGGAUUUCAAACCCGGGUAAGGUUCUUCGCGUUGCUUCGAAUUGAACCACAUGCUCCACCGCUUGUGUGAGCCCCCGUCAAUUCCUUUGAGUUUUAGCCUUGCGGCCGUACUCCCCAGGCGGGGCACUUAAUGCGUUAGCUUCGGCACGGAGGGAGUCGACACCCCCCACACCUAGUGCCCAUCGUUUACAGCGUGGACU